UUUUGUGCGCAGGGGAGAUGACACUGUUUUUAUAUAUCCCAUCUGUUCUCUUCUCUCGGUUUGAGAUGUAUGAGGGCAGUGUCUUCUCUCUGCGCAUGAAA
Molecule: microRNA precursor, 101 nt
Filed under: Picea abies (Norway spruce)
Lineage: Eukaryota; Viridiplantae; Streptophyta; Pinopsida; Pinales; Pinaceae
Description: miR391c stem-loop (pab-MIR391c)
Gene: pab-MIR391c
Source: miRBase by way of RNAcentral